UACGUAGGGUGCAGGCGUUAAUCGGAAUUACUGGGCGUAAAGCGUGCGCAGGCGGUUUGUUAAGACAGAUGUGAAAUCCCCGGGCUUAACCUGGGAACUGCGUUUGUAACUGGCAAGCUAGAGUGUGGCAGAGGGGGGUGGAAUUCCACGUGUAGCAGUGAAAUGCGUAGAGAUGUGGAGGAACACCGAUGGCGAAGGCAGCCUUCUGGGCCAACACUGACGCUCAUGCACGAAAGCGUGGGGAGCAAACAGG
RNAcentral lists this ribosomal RNA (253 nucleotides) under uncultured bacterium. RNAcentral describes it as "partial 16S ribosomal RNA". It matches the Rfam family "Bacterial small subunit ribosomal RNA", at positions 524 to 776 of the family's 1533-position model. The record is from RNAcentral.